This 253-nucleotide ribosomal RNA is filed under the name uncultured bacterium. Its description in RNAcentral is "partial 16S ribosomal RNA". It matches the Rfam family "Bacterial small subunit ribosomal RNA", at positions 524 to 776 of the family's 1533-position model. The record is from RNAcentral.
UACGGGGGGGGCAAGCGUUGUUCGGAAUUACUGGGCGUAAAGGGCGCGUAGGCGGCCAGGUAGGUCUGCUGUGAAAACUCGAGGCUUAACCUCGAGAUGUCGGCGGAAACCAUCUGGCUAGAGUCCGGAAGAGGAGAAUGGAAUUCCCGGUGUAGCGGUGAAAUGCGCAGAUAUCGGGAAGAACACCCGUGGCGAAGGCGGUUCUCUGGGACGGUACUGACGCUGAGACGCGAAAGCGUGGGUAGCGAACAGG